CAACAAAAUAUAUCGUAUUUGGGUAAUGCAUAAGCUAUAUGAAAUGAGAAGAUAUAUACGGUAUGAUGAGUGCCAAUGAGACAACUCUCUACCAGAGAUCAAUUGACAUAAAACGUAUUAAAGUGCAAUGUUUUCCCAUUUAGAUCCGAAAAGGAGGAGGAUAUAUAUUUUGCUUUAAUAUAAAAAGUUUGUCGAGAAUAACAAGUUAAACGGGUCUUGCUUAUAAAAUUCACUAUACUUUCUUUAAUAGCGGUACAAUUAGAUUAUGAAAUGAAACGAUUGUCAGAUUGUCAGAAAAAAAAAGGUUAAUUAUAAUUCAUCUCAUAUGUUUACAAGCUUUGUAUGAUGUGGAGAGGUAUAUAGCCACGCUUUAGGCCCAAUUUUAUUUUCACUUUCAAUUCUAUACACAUGAAUCUUAUUGCAGAGAAAUAAAAAAAAAUCGCAGUCAGUUUACGCUUCCCAAAUUUGAAAAUUUGAUAAAGAUGAUUUGUUAUCCUCUUGUGAUACAAAACUUUUUCACAACUUAAGAACCUCAUCUAAACGAACAAACC
RNAcentral lists this long non-coding RNA (551 nucleotides) under Mytilus galloprovincialis (Mediterranean mussel). Lineage: Eukaryota; Metazoa; Mollusca; Bivalvia; Mytilida; Mytilidae. The record is from RNAcentral.